Molecule: ribosomal RNA, 292 nt
Filed under: uncultured bacterium
Lineage: Bacteria
Description: partial 16S ribosomal RNA
Rfam family: Bacterial small subunit ribosomal RNA
Source: RNAcentral
GUGUCAGCAGCCGCGGUAAUACGAAGGGGGCUAGCGUUGCUCGGAAUGACUGGGCGUAAAGGGCGCGUAGGCGGUUUGUACAGUCAGAUGUGAAAUUCCUGGGCUCAACCUGGGGGCUGCAUUUGAUACGUAUGGACUGGAGUGAGGAAGAGGGUCGUGGAAUUCCCAGUGUAGAGGUGAAAUUCGUAGAUAUUGGGAAGAACACCGGUGGCGAAGGCGGCGACCUGGUCCUUUACUGACGCUGAGGCGCGAAAGCGUGGGGAGCAAACAGGAUUAGAUACCCUGGUAGUCC